Molecule: transfer RNA, 70 nt
Filed under: Japanagallia spinosa
Lineage: Eukaryota; Metazoa; Arthropoda; Insecta; Hemiptera; Cicadellidae
Description: tRNA-His
Source: RNAcentral
AUCUAAGUAUUUUAUUUAAAAUAAAGAUUUGUGGAUUCUUAGAUGCUUAAUUAUGAUUUGGCCUUAGAUU